This 497-nucleotide ribosomal RNA is filed under the name uncultured bacterium. RNAcentral's name for it is "partial 16S ribosomal RNA". It matches the Rfam family "Bacterial small subunit ribosomal RNA", at positions 28 to 507 of the family's 1533-position model. The record is from RNAcentral.
GAUAAACGCUGGCGGCGUGCCUAAUACAUGCAAGUCGAGCGAACAGACGAGGAGCUUGCUCCUCUGACGUUAGCGGCGGACGGGUGAGUAACACGUGGAUAACCUACCUAUAAGACUGGGAUAACUUCGGGAAACCGGAGCUAAUACCGGAUAAUAUAUUGAACCGCAUGGUUCAAUAGUGAAAGACGGUUUUGCUGUCACUUAUAGAUGGAUCCGCGCCGCAUUAGCUAGUUGGUAAGGUAACGGCUUACCAAGGCAACGAUGCGUAGCCGACCUGAGAGGGUGAUCGGCCACACUGGAACUGAGACACGGUCCAGACUCCUACGGGAGGCAGCAGUAGGGAAUCUUCCGCAAUGGGCGAAAGCUUGACGGAGCAACGCCGCGUGAGUGAUGAAGGUCUUCGGAUCGUAAAACUCUGUUAUUAGGGAAGAACAAAUGUGUAAGUAACUAUGCACGUCUUGACGGUACCUAAUCAGAAAGCCACGGCUAACUACGUG